GAUGAACGCUGGCGGCGUGCCUAAUACAUGCAAGUCGAACGCUGGAGAUCUAGCAUGCUAGAUCGAAGGAGUGGCGAACGGGUGAGUAAUACAUAAGCAACCUACCCACGAAGACUGGGAUAAUCUCUGGAAACGGGGACUAAUACCGGAUAGGUAAUCGGAAGGCAUCUUCUGGUUAUUAAAGGUUAAAAACACUGGUGGAUGGGCUUAUGGCGCAUUAGUUAGUUGGUGAGGUAACGGCCCACCAAGACGAUGAUGCGUAGCCGGCCUGAGAGGGUGAACGGCCACAUUGGGACUGAGACACGGCCCAGACUCCUACGGGAGGCAGCAGUAGGGAAUUUUCGGCAAUGGGGGCAACCCUGACCGAGCAACGCCGCGUGAGUGAAGACGGCCUUCGGGUUGUAAAGCUCUGUUGUAAGGGAAGAACGGUAGAUAGAGAAUAUCUAAGUGACGGUACCUUACCAGAAAGCCACGGCUAACUACGUG
Molecule: ribosomal RNA, 486 nt
Filed under: uncultured bacterium
Lineage: Bacteria
Description: partial 16S ribosomal RNA
Rfam family: Bacterial small subunit ribosomal RNA
Source: RNAcentral